This 161-nucleotide small RNA is filed under the name Chelonoidis abingdonii (Abingdon island giant tortoise). RNAcentral describes it as "TUC338 (ENSCABG00000006421.1)". Lineage: Eukaryota; Metazoa; Chordata; Testudines; Testudinidae. The record is from RNAcentral.
AUUAGUGCUAGUGAAAGGUGCUGUUAUCUGAUCACAGAACAGGUACAGGCUGAGUGCAGAAUUCCCCACACUGCCCUGCCAAUGUCUUAGCCCUGAGGCUCAGAGACCACACUCAGAACAAGAAUGCUUCAACUUUUAUUCACGCUGAGCCCCUACCCUCU